Molecule: long non-coding RNA, 398 nt
Organism: Eriocheir sinensis (Chinese mitten crab)
Lineage: Eukaryota; Metazoa; Arthropoda; Malacostraca; Decapoda; Varunidae
Exons: 3
Source: RefSeq, a predicted model, not a curated record
AGAAACGUCAACUUCAACAUGGCGGGAAGAGGAGGAGCAAAGCCGCGUCCAGCCUUCUGUCCGGGCCGGGCACCAGGGCUGUCUGUUCCUCUUCACAACAUGCUGGUCUUGCUUCUUGCCUCCGCUCACACCUUCACAAACACACCGAUGUACCAGGAUGCUGAUACCACUGUGGUCUGAUGGUUCUAGGGGAGUCUGCAAGCCAUGAAAAUUCCUUGGCCAGGGCAGGAGACAAGCGGUGACAUCAUCCUUUUGUUCUUGGGAGUCCCUUGGACUUUCAUGUGAAACUGCUCAUCAACCAGCGACACUGCUAGUCAACAAGUCUGACCGCUCAUCACAAAACAUUUCAAUACAUUCUCUUUGCUUCCCUCCCGGGCCGUCAGGGACAUCAAUCUGGA